UACCCGGUAGCUCAAUGGCAGAGCGCUAGACUGUUAAUCUGGUGGUUGAAGGUUCGAGUCCUUCUCGGGUAGC
Molecule: transfer RNA, 73 nt
Filed under: Gordonia phage GMA2
Lineage: Duplodnaviria; Heunggongvirae; Uroviricota; Caudoviricetes
Description: tRNA-Asn
Rfam family: tRNA
About the family: Transfer RNA (tRNA) molecules are approximately 80 nucleotides in length. Their secondary structure includes four short double-helical elements and three loops (D, anti-codon, and T loops).
Source: RNAcentral